AAAGCCAGAAGAAGAAAAAGUUAAGAAAGGAAACCCUCGUGGAAGGCUGUAGUCAGCAUGCCUGGCCUUCAGGAGGAACAGUGUCCCAGUGGGACAGAGCUGUUCGCUUCAAAUUUUAUGAAAGUGCAUGCCUGCCCCCACAACAUCUGGGGAGAGGAUAUCAUCUUCUGCUACUGCUCCUGCCUCGACUUCAGGUGCCCGCAGCCAACAACUGCCUCUACAAGGUUCUCGCCUACCCCCACCUGUAUGUUACGAUGGUCAUCUGGGCAGAUGCUAAGGCUUUCUGACACAGUGCUCUCUCAGGUUCAAGCUCCAGCCCUCUAUAGGGAAAAGACAGCAGCUACAAGGGACUGAACUUUUUGCUGCUUUCGGGGAAGGCCCUGACUUGGGCCAUGGCGGUGUGGGAGUGAGAGUACUCAGCUUGCUUGAACAGUUCCCUGCGCGAAAGAGAUUUCUGCAUAAUUGCUCAAGACUUCUGAGAAUUUGCCUUCUCCUGAGCGCUCACAGAAUCUGACAAGUUUACCCAAAUUAGUAACUCAGUCCCCAACCAAGUCUUACCAGAAUUUCCCAAGUUUCCUUACUGAGGCUGAGGCAGGAUUAAGCAAAGUGUUUUUGACUAAUUCGGAAGUGGGCAGGAGUCUUUGAGAACUUGUUUCACCGCAGCAAAGUUUGCAAACAGAGAGUAGGUGGAAUGAGGAGGCUCCUGUCUCUCUUUUUCAAAAAGGUCAGAACAUUUGAUAGAUGAAAUGGCAUCCAGAGAUCAGCCUCUUAACCUGGGCUCUUAUCUCUUGCUACUUGAGUGGAUGGUUGCCUGCGUGAAAGCGAUUUCCGCAUAAUUGCUCAAGACUUCAGAGAAUUUGCCUUCCCCUGAGUGCUCAGAGAAUCUGACAAGUUUACCAAAAUUUGCUACUCAGUCUCCAAUUGAGUCUUCCUGGAAUUUCCCAAGUUCCUCUACUGAGACUGAGGCAUAGCCAUUACAAUUAGGCAGAAUCUGACUUUUUAGCGCUGAGAGAGAUAGUUGAAUCAAAACAAACUCUUGUAUUUACUAUGGCUAACCAUACCAUUUCUGCAAUACAUGACCUGAGCUCUUGUGAAAUGGGUGGGAUCGGGAGACUCCUAAUGAGCCAGGUUUUGUCUCUUGGACUUGAUAUUUUUCAGUCCAUGGAGGACUGCACCAAGGAAGCCCUUGUACUGGGACAGAUCCACCCUUCUACCUGUCCUGCUAAUGGAGGUUUUUCCUUUGUAAGAAAGUGUAAUGGCUGGUCAGCCAAGACCUGGACACCAUUCUGAGGUGCUAGGCGUCUGACCACCCAUCCCACCCAGUCAGUUCCUGCCAUGGUCGGAAUUUCUCCACAACACCCAGUGUUCUUCCACUGGUUUUUUUCCCAGUUUAAUAUUUCGGCCUCCCCCAUUUCCAGAACUGGAGGAUAUAUCACUUACCUCUGCCUACAUGUCCCUAUCUCUGCCUGUAGAUCCAUGCUGUGAGCCCUGAUACCAUCUCACCAAAAUAAUGACUUUAAAAGGGAAACUGGCAGGGAUACACCCCACUAUGACUGACUGCAAUGAGGACUAUGAUCUCAUAUGACAGCUACAUCCACCUGUAUAUACACUAAUGCUCUGUUGGCUUACAAAUAAACAGGAUGAUAAAUGUGAUUGACAGAUGCACAAGUAGUGCCUUACAUUUUAAUAAAAUAUCAAGGUACUGGAUUUCAGCUGUUUGGAAUGUGUUUUACUACUGAAUAUUGUGGAGAGGUAGAAACUUUCCAAUUCCAGAUUUUCUAUGUUUCCUUUUAAGAUUAACCUUGUGGCCACGGAGACAUUAGGUUGGUGAGAAUUAGGUUGUCAGGCUUUAAGGUGUAUGAACGAGGUAGUCAAGACUGUCAGAGACAGUGAGGAACUUGAUGGUUACAUUUACUGGAGGUUAGUGAAUAAUGCAUUCUGAAGGGCAUUAUUCAAAAAGGUGAUAAGAGGCUCUUUUUAGUAAGAAGCUCUUUUUAAUGAAGAGGCCUACCUGUUUGUCUUCUGGGUGCAGGAUUUUUGUUGAAAGGGUAAAGCGUGGGAGCAACAAGUUGAGGCAUCUGUGUAGGGUCAGAAGUCAUUGGCUCACUGGUAUCAGGGGUGUCCAUGUGAGGAGCUGAACCAGAUGACAACGGUGGAUUCAGCCAUGACACUUUUUGACUAUGCGCCAUAGUCCUAUCCCAAGACGCAUCCGUAGCUGGAAUUUCUGAGGGGGUCUUUGUAGUUUGUUCUCCGAAUUCCUGGGCAGCAUGAACAAUGGAUGUAGAAAUCGUUCCCUGGGAUUGAGCGGAGGUAUGGGAUGGCAUUGCCCUUUCAGCCCCAGCAGAAGAAGAAAUGUCUCUGUCUUGUUGAACUGUGGGAUCUGCGCUCACGUUAGCAAGGGCGACUGCAGGGCCCAACCUGGAGCGGAGCUGAUUGAUCAGAGAGCGAUAUUCUCCUUCCAGCUGGUGAAGAGUGCCAUCCUCUCCCUGUGGGUCAGACGCCACGAUUGGUUGGUGAAGGAAACACCACACUUUCACCACACAAUACCCUCGGGGUUAUGCUUCUGUCAGAAAUCCUAACCCUGUCCAUGAUGAUAUUUUUCAGACGUUCUGUUUUCAUGAGUAAUAUAUGAAAAGGUCCAUCAUUUCAUGCAAUUAAACCAAUUGAACCAA
Molecule: long non-coding RNA, 2672 nt
Organism: Anguilla rostrata (American eel)
Lineage: Eukaryota; Metazoa; Chordata; Actinopteri; Anguilliformes; Anguillidae
Exons: 2
Source: RefSeq, a predicted model, not a curated record